UACAUCUAAUUUUCAAUAUUACUGAUGUCUCUCUAUUUCUUGAUUUAGCAACCUAAGACAAUCUCUUUCAAUGACCCACUAUAACCAGACAGGUCUCUUUGUAGACUUCCAUGGUCAAAGCGAAUAUGUCGCAUUUGAAGAAAAAAAUGAACAGGCGGGACAAGAAAAGAAUAUCAAGCAAACCAGAAGAAGCAUGUGUGGAAUAGAGAAGAGCAUUACAAAAUAAAGGUAAAAAUUUGUUUUUAAGUGGGAACAAAAUAAGGGACACUUUUGUGAAAUGCAAUUACAUGUUACACAAGAGACUAUUUUCCUAUAUCUAAUAUUUUUCACUCAUUUGGAUUACCUAACUGACCCUGUAGAUAUUUGAGUCUGACCCCAUUUAGAAACACACCCAGACCCAGACGCACAAGUCAUCUACCCCUGCCCUACUCCUAUGCCCUGGGGCGGUAAACAGCAAAGGCUGUCCAGCCCAGCACUGAUUCUCCUCCUCCACUUCCCUCCUCUUCCCGUUCUGAACAGUACUCUGCAAAGAUAAGGGAGGCAGCUGUAAAAAUUCCUAACUCUCCAACUCCAUGUUCCCUCCUCCUACACAGGGCCUCUCGCUCUAGGCCCCCAAUAUGGCAAAAUGCCCAUAUUAAGAGCUGAGUGAGACCUUCCUUUGCUAAUACGGCGCUAUGCGUUUUACAAAGUCACAGGCCUUCAAUUACAGCUGCAAACACUCAGGGCAGAUCACCCAGCUCGAUCCUUGUGGGAGGGAGCGGAUGACCUGUACAAGACAGCAGUCAAACCUAACAGAGGUAUCUACCCGCCGCUCAAAAGUCACAAGCAGAUCAGUAGCUACAAGGGCGAUGCCAAAGUUCUCAAGCUCCCCAUUUUAGGGAAAAGAAAAGGAGCCUCUGAUCAACCAGGUUUGAGUCAAAUCUGCAUCCCAGGACCAAUCAGUUUGGGGCAUAGAUCAAGCAUUCAAGAAACAUUUGCUGAAUUUAGAAUGUGGGUCUGCUCUCUGGGCCAUCAGAAGGAACCUAUCUUUAAGGCUCUGCCACUAGUCAGGUCCAACUUCUAAUAAUAUUACUACCUCAUUGUAUAAUCCACAAAGUGCUUCCACAUGACUUAUUUGAUUCAAUCAGGAAGGCUGUGAGCUAAGUAGGAUUGGUUUUAUAAUAUCAUCUCCAAUUUACAGAAGAGAAAAGAGAACUUAGGUUAAUGUGACUUCAUCAAGGUCAAAGAAUGAGUAUGGGCUUUGCAUUUACUACACUUUUGUCCAAGCCACCAUAAACUAGAUGCAUAAACAGGGAGAUAACACUAAAAAUUAUGAAUUAAUAUGAAACUGCAGCCCUUCAAAGAGAAAAAAAUACAUUAUCCAAAACAUGUUCUGUAAUAAAAGCAAUAUUCAAUAAACGCACAACACAAUUCAGGAAAAAGAAAUCAAGAUUUUAAAAAUGUUUUUAUGUAGAAAUAUUUUACAAAGAUUUUACAACAAUAGCAAAUCAUUACAUCGUAUUGUAGAAAGAAGAAAAAGGUUAAACUUCAAGAAUAAAGAAAGUGCUCACAGCAACGUAUUGCAGUCUCCAUGAAAGUGCAUGAACAGUUAAGGCAAAGUACCACGGUGGUACUGGCAUGUGGCAAAAUGAUGUCUACAACAGUUUUUCAAAAGAUAUACAAAAGUCUUUCUUUUUUCCUCCAUCUUCUCCAAGACAUUUGAAAGGGAUACAUUUAUGGACAGUCUUGUUCUACAACUAAGUAAAAAUAACUCCUGGGUACAAAACA
Equus quagga is the source of this 1767-nucleotide long non-coding RNA. RefSeq lists it as uncharacterized. Lineage: Eukaryota; Metazoa; Chordata; Mammalia; Perissodactyla; Equidae. The transcript has 3 exons. The record is from RefSeq and is a predicted model, not a curated record.